This 467-nucleotide ribosomal RNA is filed under the name uncultured bacterium. RNAcentral describes it as "partial 16S ribosomal RNA". It matches the Rfam family "Bacterial small subunit ribosomal RNA", at positions 29 to 507 of the family's 1533-position model. The record is from RNAcentral.
AGUGAACGCUGGCGGUAGGCCUAACACAUGCAAGUCGAACGGCAGCACAGUAAGAGCUUGCUCUUACGGGUGGCGAGUGGCGGACGGGUGAGGAAUACAUCGGAAUCUACUUUUUCGUGGGGGAUAACGUAGGGAAACUUACGCUAAUACCGCAUACGACCUACGGGUGAAAGCAGGGGAUCUUCGGACCUUGCGCGAUUGAAUGAGCCGAUGUCGGAUUAGCUAGUUGGCGGGGUAAAGGCGCACCAAGGCGACGAUCCGUAGCUGGUCUGAGAGGAUGAUGCCCAACCCCCGGAGGGAGACACGGGCGGGAAUUAUUGGAGAGGGGGCAGAGGCGAGUAUCGGACAAUGCGCGGGGGUCAAAACGACCUCUGGGGUGUAAGUGCUGUUGGUCGGAAAGUAAAAAAGCCAUUUUACCCCCGCGGAUAAUGACAGUACCCGAAGAAUAAGCCCCGGCUAACUCCGUG